UUAGGCUGGGUUCUUUUAUUUAUGCCAACCUAAACUUUUAUAAGGUGGCCUUCCUUGCAUCUGCUGGCCUAUGAACUUGGAGCAAUUGUAAAAUAUUAUUAUCCACAACCCACUCGUGUAACUGAAAACUACAGUUUAUUAGAUGUCUGUCUUCCUUGUGUCCCCGUCUGUUUUCAAUUUUAAUGUGACAUCUAUCACUAUUUUAAAUGUGCAUGUCCAUGCUCUUGUGAUUUGUCUUUCUAAUAUUCUACAUAAUCUGAUGAAUUUCCUGACAAGACUCUGAAUUCAAUGGUAUCAUACUAAUUCAUUUCAGUCAGUCCAUACAUACACAUGCUCUUGAGCAUCCACAAUGUAUGUCCUGUACUAAUUCUCAUUUACUGUUGGUCCAAUUAAUUCUUUUUAAAUUAGGUAUUAAAUAUGUGGGAGUUGACAAAUCAGCCAUGCCCAUCUUUUGCCUGGAAACAUGUGA
RNAcentral lists this long non-coding RNA (469 nucleotides) under Eucalyptus grandis. RNAcentral describes it as "long non-coding RNA (EGRA_LNC001831)". Lineage: Eukaryota; Viridiplantae; Streptophyta; Magnoliopsida; Myrtales; Myrtaceae. The record is from RNAcentral.